GCCUAACACAUGCAAGUCGAACGAGUGGCGGACGGGUGAGUAAUGUCUGGGAAACUGCCUGAUGGAGGGGGAUAACUACUGGAAACGGUAGCUAAUACCGCAUACCAUCGGAUGUGCCCAGAUGGGAUUAGCUAGUAGGUGGGGUAAAGGCUCACCUAGGCGACGAUCCCUAGCUGGUCUGAGAGGAUGGCCAGCCACACUGGAACUGAGACACGGUCCAGACUCCUACGGGAGGCAGCAGUGGGGAAUAUUGCACAAUGGGCGCAAGCCUGAUGCAGCCAUGCCGCGUGUAUGAAGAAGGCCUUCGGGUUGUAAAGUACUUUCAGCGGGGAGGCGUUACCCGCAGAAGAAGCACCGGCUAACUCCGUGCCAGCAGCCGCGGUAAUACGGAGGGUGCAAGCGUUAAUCGGAAUUACUGGGCGUAAAGCGCACGCAGGCGGUUUGUUAAGUCAGAUGUGAAAUCCCCGGGCUCAACCUGGGAACUGCAUCUGAUACUGGCAAGCUUGAGUCUCGUAGAGGGGGGUAGAAUUCCAGGUGUAGCGGUGAAAUGCGUA
RNAcentral lists this ribosomal RNA (554 nucleotides) under uncultured bacterium. RNAcentral describes it as "bacterial SSU rRNA". It matches the Rfam family "Bacterial small subunit ribosomal RNA", at positions 46 to 692 of the family's 1533-position model. The record is from RNAcentral.